CCAGACUCCUACGGGAGGCAGCAGUAGGGAAUCUUCGGCAAUGGACGAAAGUCUGACCGAGCAACGCCGCGUGAGUGAAGAAGGUUUUCGGAUCGUAAAACUCUGUUGGUAGAGAAGAACGUUGGUGAGAGUGGAAAGCUCAUCAAGUGACGGUAACUACCCAGAAAGGGACGGCUAACUACGUGCCAGCAGCCGCGGUAAUACGUAGGUCCCGAGCGUUGUCCGGAUUUAUUGGGCGUAAAGCGAGCGCAGGUGGUUUAUUAAGUCUGGUGUAAAAGGCAGUGGCUCAACCAUUGUAUGCAUUGGAAACUGGUAGACUUGAGUGCAGGAGAGGAGAGUGGAAUUCCAUGUGUAGCGGUGAAAUGCGUAGAUAUAUGGAGGAACACCGGUGGCGAAAGCGGCUCUCUGGCCUGUAACUGACACUGAGGCUCGAAAGCGUGGGGAGCAAGCAGGAUUAGAUACCCUGGUAGUCCACGCCGUAAACGAUGAGUGCUAGAUGUAGGGAGCUAUAAGUUCUCUGUAUCGCAGCUAACGCAAUAAGCACUCCGCCUGGGGAGUACGACCGCAAGGUUGAAACUCAAAGGAAUUGACGGGGGCCCGCACAAGAGGG
RNAcentral lists this ribosomal RNA (610 nucleotides) under uncultured bacterium. Its description in RNAcentral is "bacterial SSU rRNA". It matches the Rfam family "Bacterial small subunit ribosomal RNA", at positions 331 to 933 of the family's 1533-position model. The record is from RNAcentral.